Long non-coding RNA from Acromyrmex echinatior (Panamanian leafcutter ant), 651 nucleotides. NCBI's taxonomy places the organism in Eukaryota, Metazoa, Arthropoda, Insecta, Hymenoptera, Formicidae. The record is from RefSeq and is a predicted model, not a curated record.
CGAUGACUGUCUGAUCGAACAUCGUGAACGACACGCUGUGCGAGAACGGCCAUCGCAGAAGCGCAUCAUACUCGCCAGGAUGUCACCGGCUGGGCUACUUUUCGAAAUAUUAAAGUGAUAACACAGGGUGUAGCGCCCUGGGAGAUAUUGUCUCGUGCAGAGAACCACGUGGGAGAUGCAAGCCAGGAAUACUUUAAUUGUUGUGUUGUUCAAGCGAUUGCAUCAUUGAUGUACAUAAUCCGUGUUUUCAAAUUUAUUUUCGCAAAUAGACCAAUGUAAAAAUAUAUUUUAUUUUUAAUAUCAUAAGAUUCCCAUAUACACAGCACAGAUGUUCAAGGGACUUUCUGAAGAACAUCCUGAAAAUAUCCCAAAGUACCAAGAACAUUCGCACGAAUAUCUUUGAGAUAAACACGUUACUUCAGGAAAAGGAAUUGUAAGAUCCGAUCAACCAUUCGUAUACAAAUGCAUCCGGUGUAUAUAAAUAUGUGUGCGAACACGCUCGAAGGUGCUUGGAAGUUGAAACCUGCAUGACCGGCAAGGUCGAGGAACCUAACGCAACCAGCCUAGCGAAAAAAGAAGAAUCGGAGACAUGAUAUAUGAAGAAAUCGGAGAACUUGAGAUACUUGUCAUACUUACAAAGUAAAUCGACAC